This 786-nucleotide non-coding RNA is filed under the name Clemelis pullata. Lineage: Eukaryota; Metazoa; Arthropoda; Insecta; Diptera; Tachinidae. The record is from RNAcentral.
AUAAAGUUUUAUUUUAGCUUAAAAAUUUAUUAUUAAUUUAAUUUAUAUGUAAAUUUUUGUGUGAAUUUUUAAUUAUUUAAAUAAUAAUUAAUAUAUUUUUAUUCGCAAUAAUUAAUAUUAUUCGUUAAAGAAAUUUAGAUAAAGUAAUAUUAAAGAAUAUUGAUUAAAUUUGUGCCAGCAAUCGCGGUUAUACAAAUAAUGUAAAUAAAUUUUAUUAAUUAAAGUUAAAUUGUUUUAUUAAAUAAAGAAUAAAUUUAUUAGGUGAAAUUAUUAAAUUUAUAAAUUUUUUGUUAAAAAUAAUUGAAGCUUGAAAAUUUUAUAAAUAAACUAGGAUUAGAUACCCUAUUAUUAAAAAUGUAAAUUAUAAAAAUUAAGGUAGUAGUAGAUAUGUUCUUGAAACUUAAAAAAUUUGGCGGUAUUUUAGUCUAUUCAGAGGAACCUGUUUUAUAAUCGAUAAUCCACGAUGGACCUUACUUGAAUUUGUUAUCAGUUUAUAUACCGUCGUUAUUAGAAUAUUUUAUAAAAAUGUUAAUAUUCUUAAUUUAAUAAAAUAAAAUAUAUCAGAUCAAGGUGUAGCUUAUAUUUAAGUAAAAAUGGGUUACAAUAAAAUUAUUUAAAUGAAUAUAAAUUUGAAAUGUUUAUUGAAGGUGGAUUUGAUAGUAAAAUUAUAAAGAUUAAUAAUUUGAUUUUAGCUCUAAAAUAUGUACACAUCGCCCGUCACUCUUAUUAUUAAGAUAAGAUAAGUCGUAACAUAGUAGAUGUACUGGAAAGUGUAUCUAGAAUGCA